ACAUUUAGGAACACAGACUUUGGCACUGAUAGGCGUGGGACAACAGGCGUGUAAUAUAGAACGCCGAUUAAGUUUAACACGACAAUUAUCUCCGCGUCUUGUCUCGAUUCGCUGCGACAUUUGCCAGCUGUUCGGGGGCUCCGAUAAUGGCGGAGCGACAGAGGCAGCUGCCUCUAGUAUAUAUUCUAUAUAAUAUAAUCGCACUGAAUAGUCAAAGUCGGACGCAUAUUCGUCACCUGAGGCACGACCCGCCUCCGCAGUUAUGACACAAACAUAUUGUCCAGCCAGAAACAGCGGGGGUACGAAAACAAGAUGCGGAAUCAAUGAGAACGAGCCCGAUACGGAUCUACAUGGCACCGCAGGACGAGUGCAAGAGUGCAGGAGUGCAGGAGUGCUGCAGCAGGAUGCUCGCACUCGGAUGCAGGUCCCGAAAUCCAGUCGAAAUCUAUUGUUUCGCUGUCGCGACGAGCGUCUGGACAGAAAUUGCUGUGGAUUGCGGCAAAGCGGAAAUAUUUUUAUGUCGCCAACACGAAAAUGUUGCCGUUGAUGUUGCAACAUCGCUAUCGCCGGCCAUCGAUGCGGAGUAGGAGUGAGUCUGGCAUCGGUAUUGGGACUCUGUUCGGGUUCGGGUCUGGGUCUCGGUCUGGCCAAGAGGUCUCCUCUCCUGCCACUCGUUGGCGCAGCAUGUGAAACUAUGGAAUUUUUUCAUUUGAUGCCUAUAAACGUAAAUAUCUUGCUUUUUAAUCUUAUUUUAUAAUAAAACUGAAUAUAAUGUACUCUUUUUGAAUGUCGUUAAAGUGAUCAUUAAA
Long non-coding RNA from Drosophila kikkawai, 809 nucleotides. RefSeq lists it as uncharacterized. NCBI's taxonomy places the organism in Eukaryota, Metazoa, Arthropoda, Insecta, Diptera, Drosophilidae. The record is from RefSeq and is a predicted model, not a curated record.